Long non-coding RNA from Heterocephalus glaber (naked mole-rat), 2522 nucleotides. RefSeq lists it as uncharacterized. The record is from RefSeq and is a predicted model, not a curated record. Lineage: Eukaryota; Metazoa; Chordata; Mammalia; Rodentia; Bathyergidae.
UGAAUUAAAAAAAAAACCCUUCCUAUGCUUCAUUUUUCUCAUUGAUUAAAUGGAGAUAGUAAUGGUUCCUGCAUAUGGUUGUGAGAAGUAAAUAAAAUGUAUAUAAAAUCUUUAGAACAGUGCCAAAUAUGCAGACCAAUAAAGGCUAGCUUGUGAAAUAGUUGCUAAGAAGGAAGAGCAUGUAGAAAGGCAGAGUGAAAUGCAGAGGAAGAAAAAGGGCUAUUUUGUGAAGGAAGGUCCCUGAGAAAGUUGAAGGUCAAGAAAUCUAGAUCAAAGUGUGGGGGAAUUCACCUUAGAAAGGUGAAUCAAGAUGAGAGGGAGAAGGAAAAGAGUUCAGAUGCUAAUUAUUUUGUGGACUAGAGGGAACCACAGGGAUAGAGGUUCCACCUCACAGAUGAACUCUGUUUUUUCUCUGAAAUAAGAUCAGAGGUUCAACCACUGCAGGUUAAGGAAAGGGUUAGAAUGAAGGAGGUUACUUCAAAGAGUGGCACAGACUCAAAAUAGCAGUUGUGGGCAAUAGUCAAGGGAACUGUACAGAGACAGAUCAAAGGAUUGUCAGCCAAGAUCAUGAAGACAGUUUGAGAUGAGGAGCAAUAAUUUGUGAUAGUAACAAUCCCAUGCUAUUGUGGACUUUCUCUAGCUGCCACUAAGCAGCUUGCAUUUCAAGCUGGAAAAGGCAGAUGACGAAUUGGUCAGUGGUCAGGAUUUUCUAGGUCACUGUAGAAAAUAGACAAAGAAAGCAAGGAAGCUAAGGGCACUAGCAAAAAUGUAUCAAGCCAUGAAUCCUGAGUACAGUCAGAAGAAACAUUGAAGUUGUGAAAGGGGUGAUGCUUAGCUGCUCUGAAGCCCGAAGAACAUGUGUGGUAGAACAAGGGGACAAACUAUUUGAAAGAACUCGUGCUUGUGUUUAAGGAAAGAUUUUCUAAGGUUAGUGAGAAAUUACUCCUGCUGUUCCUGAUGCUCCCUCUUUUCCAAGGUUAUGUCAAGCUUCAAGAGUACCUUUUACUCAGUGCCAAAGUUUCUAGUGACUCUUCUGUACAUUGAUCAUUGUACACACUGGUUAACAGGCAAAACACCUAUAUGCCAGCUUUCAUUGUGCACCUUUCUCCUGGUUCCGCACCAGCAAACUGGUUACCCUUGAUCUAAAACCAAGCCUAGCUGCCAUUGAUUUCAAUAGUCAGUCAUAUUUUCAGAGCUCUGGCAAGGAGCAGUGCAUAGAUGCCCUCUAUUCUUGUGGCCUACAAAAUUCUCCUGUGUACCCAGGCUCAUGAUAUCUUCAGGGAUCUCUUUUCAUUUUGGGUUGUCUAUUUCCUUUCAAACCAUAUUCUGUCAAUAGGCUGAACCCCGAGAGAACAAGCCAGGAAAUCAGUCACAUACCUUACAGAAGCAAGGAAUCAGUGGCUCUGCUGACCAACUGCUUGGAUAUACAUUUGCCUGAGGGGGGCAAAAGGUAAAGAAUGACAAGAACACUGAAGUAGUGAAAGCUCGCCAGAGAUACUGAUGCAAAAGAUGGUGCAAAGGGGGAGAUGCAGAACUAUCCCAGAUGAGAAAGACUGUCCUUAACCAUGUGAUGGAAUACAUUACAACACUUGGCUGCCAUCACACCUGCUCCUUGCUGGAGAUGGCCCACUGUGUCAUUUCCUGGAUGUCACAGACUUCCUGCUGAGGUGUCUCAGAGGUGCUCCCACAUGUCUACCUAUGGUGCUGACUGUUCCAUCCUCCACCUAUAAGGAAUCCACUCUGCUACCCAAGGCAAUUCCAGGUCCUUGUUCACCUUUAAAUUUUCUGGGCCAGAAUCAGGCCCCAGCUUGUGUCUUCUUCAACCCUUAGGGACACUGCCAUACUCUCAAAGUGGUUUUAUAGAAGCCCCCAAGCUUGACUGACAGUGUGAGCACCCACUUACAACUUGCAUGGCAAGGAAAAUACAUGGCACUCUGGAAGCUCUCCCUAAGGAAACAAUUCCUGUGUUCCUUGCUACCCUUACAUGUAGACUGGGAUGCUGGUAAUGGGCUGUAAGAGGCAGCCUAGCAUCCGGAGAAUAUGGAUGUAUUUUCCAGCUGUGGUUGUUAUCAGCUUGAGAGCUUUGGAGCCACAUAGGAAAUUGAGGCAAAGAGAAAUGUUAUGUAAAACUCAGCCUGUCCUUGUAUAACACUUUUACAAUUGCAUUAUUUGAUUCAGUGAGUACAGUGGUUAGAAUCCUUAGGAUGCCAAUAGACCAAACUGAGUUUGGUAUGAUUUCAGUAGAAGUGUUUAACACUGUAGAAUUAUGUUAGCUGGAGGUGUGUCAUGUACCAAACGUAGUGCAUCGUGUUCAAAAACCCACCUAUAUAGACAGAAGGAAAGUGAAAGGGUAAGAAACACACAUAGCAUAGAUCUAUUAAGUUUAUAAGCAAAAAAGGAAAAAUAGAUUUUUUAAAUUCUAUUGGCUGCUGAAACUCAAGCUCCUAGAAAGGGAAGACCAAGACAAACACAAAGCUCAUACAAGGGAAGAAAUUAUAAAGAUCAGAGCAGAAAUCAGUGCA